Molecule: long non-coding RNA, 240 nt
Filed under: Elaeis guineensis (African oil palm)
Lineage: Eukaryota; Viridiplantae; Streptophyta; Magnoliopsida; Arecales; Arecaceae
Description: long non-coding RNA (EGUI_LNC003701)
Source: RNAcentral
CUGCUCGAAGAUUUUUCUCGUACAUCAUUAAUCGGCUUGGAGGUGGAUCAUGAACUUGAGCACUAGAAUCAGAAAGUUCAAGGUGGAACUUGUCCGGAAUGGAGUAUUAAGCUCGGAGCAACUCUAGAUCACUCAAAGUCAACUCGGAUUGAAUCUCUCUGGGUCUAGCCUAAGGAUUGGUUUUGAACCUAAGAUUUUUUAGAUCCUUCAUUUUCUUUCACAUGGGACUCUCACUCACAG